This is a non-coding RNA of Danio rerio (zebrafish), 4711 nucleotides long. The record is from RefSeq and is a predicted model, not a curated record. Lineage: Eukaryota; Metazoa; Chordata; Actinopteri; Cypriniformes; Danionidae.
CAAACUACUAACGUUAUCGACUCAAAAACUACACUUCCCAGAGUUCCGAUUUCCGCUGCGUGAUGCCGCCUGUGACAGUCUGAGUUGGUUUUUGACCUAAGAUAAGUCAACAUUCAGUGAUUUGGAUGAAGAGCUUUUAAGUGAUGUAAACUAUUUGUACUGUAAGAGCCUCGGAGCUGUAGGGGUCAUGCAGUGAAUGGCUCCUGGCACGAAGGUUGGAACUUCUGACUGCGGCUUCUGUUCUGCUGGCUUUCGCUCAUGCCUGAUGUCAGGAUGGCGGCAUAUGUCCACAGCAAGGGUGUGUCCUGGGAGGUUAAAAAUGACACCUUGAUGCCAUCAGAUCGACUCCGGCAAGACAGAUCAGAGAGUCCGACCCCAGGCCUGGUGGAGGGCACUGAGCCAGGUGCAGGACAGGAAGGUGCCAUGUUUGUUCAUGCUCAGUCUUUUGAGGACCUGACUGCUGAUAGUGAGCCCAACACUGAUAACAAAUCUGCAGAGGUGGACGACGCUCAAGAAGAGGCUCUGGAAGAAGGAGACGAGGAGGAACACUUAGAGUCUGAGCAGGAGGAAAAGGGGAAAGAGGAGCUGAAGAACAGCAACAAGGCAAAGGAGGAGGAUGUGACGAGCGAAACAUGGCGGAGCCACAGAAAGCAUGUUUUCGUCUUGAGUGAGGCAGGGAAACCAAUCUACACACGCUACGGCACAGAGGAGGCGCUCUCCAGCAUUAUGGGGGUCAUGAUGCUGCUUAUGUCAUUUGUGGAAGAUAAGAAGAACAUCAUACGCUCUAUUCAUGCAGAUGGCUACAGGGUGGUAUUUCUCAGGAAGACCCCUCUUAUCCUGGUGGGAGUCUCUCGCACAAGCUGUUCAGACCGGGAAUUAACACGAGAGCUUCAGUAUGUGUAUUUCCAGAUAGUCAGCCUGCUCACCCUCACACAGCUGAACCACGUCUUCCAGCACCGGCAGAGCUACGACCUGCGCCGCCUGCUGGCCGGCUCAGAGCAUCUCACCGACAACCUGCUGCGCCUCCUGGACCGAGACCCCGGCCUGCUGCUGAGCGCCGUGAUGUGUCUUCCUCUGGCCAACUCAGCCCGUGACGUUGUCUCCUCCAGCUUACAGGCCGCUAAAGCUAAAAACCUAGUAUUCUCCAUCUUACUCGCUGGAAACAGGCUGGUGACACUUGUGCGUAAAAAGGACCAGUUCCUGCACCACAUGGACCUGCACUUGCUCUUCAACUUGGUCGGCUCUUCAUCCUCCUUUCGUGAAGGUGAGGGAUGGACGCCCAUAUGUCUGCCCAAGUUUAACCCGGCUGGAUUUUUCCAUGCCCAUAUUUCUUACCUAGAGCCUGCCUCAGAUUUGUGUCUGAUCCUGGUGUCCACCGAUCGUGAGGAUUUCUUUAACCUCUCUGACUGUAAGAAGCGCUUCCUGGAGCGUUUGCGCAGACGCAGUGCCUAUCAGUCCCUGCAGGAGGCGCUGAACACACCAAGCUACUCCCUCUCACAGGUCGGCAUACCUGAGCUAAGACACUUUGUCUACAAAUCUAAAAGCUCUGGGCUCUAUACGAGCCCUGAUCUUCCAGCACUGUAUGAGGGGGGAGAGGAGCAAGAGAGGUUGAUGGGGUUGUAUCAGCACCUGCACAGCUGCCUGCAUCACCCCACACGUCCACUGCGCUGCAUCUACCGCUGCACAGACACCGAAAAUCUCUAUGCCUUGGUAACCAGUGGCUUUGAGCUCUACCUGUGCUUCAGUCCUCUGGGAACAAAGAGUCUCGCUGUAUCUGCUGUCAACAGACUCCUGAAGUGGAUCAGGAAAGAGGAGGACCGACUGUUUAUACUCAGUCCCUUAACAUACUGAGCCAGUUCAGCACUCCUGAACGCCAGAAACACUAGUGAAUGUGCUAAUACUUGAAUGAAUCAAUGGUGAUAUAAAGGGCUUGCUUGCUUGUUUGAGGGCUUCUCACACUCAUAAACGGCAGUCAGUGUAAAUCAGGAAGGUUUAAACUUAGUAAAGAGUAUCUAAUCAUUCCUAUUAGCAGUUGUCAAAGCAUGAAUUGCAACAUUUAAAGGGACAGUUCACCUAAAAUGAACAUUCUGUCUAUAUUUACUCCCUCACUUAUUCAAAACCUAUUUGAGUUUCUUCUGUUGAACACAAAAGGAGAUGUUUUAAAAAUGCUGUUUGCUGGGACUCAUUGAUUUCCUGCAUUAGUCUUUCCAUGGCAUUUUUCAAAAUUCCGUCUUUAUUAAUUUUUUUUUCUGUUGAACACUAAAGUUUUUUCAAGAGAUUUUUUUUUCCCAAAGCAUCCAUUAACUUUCAUAUGAUUUUGUUUUAUUCCUGCUAUAGAUGUGGCAGCUUUUUUUCACAUUCUUUAGAAUAUCUUGUUUUGUGCUUACCAGAAGAAUGAAAUGCAUAGUUAAAGCCACUUGAGUGUGAGAAAAUGAUGAAGAAAUGUACAAUUUUGGGGUGAACUAUCCCUUAAUAAAUGCUUUUAAGUGCGCCUAUAAUUCAGUGAAAAAACAUUAAGGGAGGUAGAUAAGAUCUUAUAAAUGCUCACAAUGUUGCAUUCUGAACAUUUAGACCUCUGCUUUUUAAUUGAGUAGACCUACCACUGUUUCAACUUUACAUCAGAUGUUUUAUAUGAGCCAAGUUUAAUCUAUAGUUUACCCAAAAAUUAAGAUCAUCAUUCACUCACCCUUGUGCUGUUCCUAUGUGUGUCUCCCCCCAUCCUCCUGCUUUUUUCAUGUAUUAAAGUAGUCAACAGCCACAAGCAAAGCUGCUUGUUUACAUUUUUGCAGUUGUAAAAAAUUAAGAUAAGUAGAAAAACAACUCCACAAAUUUAUAUACUUGCAUCUCUAUGGGAAUAUUCAAUUUUUUUUUCCCUCACAGCAUAAAGUUAUUGCAUUCAUGUGUCAGCUGUCAUUCAGACUUUCAUCCGAUGUGAUGGAACUAUGCUCACUUUUUUAUUAUGAGUUUGAUUUCAUGUUUAUUAAUCUUGAUGCAUCUUUUCUAGUCACGUUGAGCAAACUGACACACUAACAGAGCUCGUGCAUGAAGACAAACAUCAGGUAGAUCUUGUCAUUUAUCGAAUAAUACAUAGAAUUUUGGGAUCCCACUAAAUAGUUUAAAUAUAAAUGACACAUAUCAUCUGGGACAAUUCUGUGAUAUAUUUGCAUCUUUUUUAAUAACUUUAUCUUGGUUGUUAAUUACAGUAUGCACCAUUAUUUUCCUGUUAUUUUUGGUUGAAUAUUUUGAAUGAGACAAAAGGGCUUAUGGCAUUGCACUGUGAAAGGCAAUUAGUUACUUGGAAAAAAGUUAGUAAAUGCCAUUGGCUUAAAAGAAACAAGUUGACUUCACUUAAAGUGAGUAAAUUUGUAACUUGAAAGUGUUAAGUUGACUUAAUUUUUAUAAUUAUGUGCAUAGUUCAUUUACUUAAAAAUUUUAGGGCAAUGUAUUUACUCACUUUUUUAAAGCACAGUCAAUUACACCAGAGAAAUAUUUUUCUUACUUCAAAUUUUUGUCUUUUAUUAAGUCCAAAUGUCAAAAAAUUCUUAAAUCAAGAAGCAUUUUCUAGACAAGCAAAAAAAAGUCUUGUUUUCAGAAAUAUUAAGCGAGAUUUUCUCUUAAAACAAGCAAAAAUAAUCAGCCAACACUCAAAAACAUAAAAUAUUGUUGGUGCUUGUUCAAACUGCAUAUUUAAAAUGAGCUGCAUCAACACAAUUUCUGUGUUUUUUUAACAACGUAAUUGUUUUAUGUUCAAUCCACUUAAAUUUGCAAAAACAAUCAAGUUAACCAAAUUAUUUAAGUUGGGACAAUAUGAUGAAAUUGUGUGGAACCCUUAAUUUUUUCAAAGUGAAUGGAGUAAGAAAAAUUAUUUUGUUUUCUCUUUGAUAUAAGGUACCUUUGCAGAUUAUUUUGCUUGUUUUAAUGAUAAACACACCUAAUUUUCACAUGUUAUUUCUAAAAAAAAAAAGACAAUAUUUUAUGCUUGUCUAAACAAUCCUUGGUUCAAGAAUUAAAAAAAUAUUUUGACUAGAAACAAGACAAAAACCCUAAGUAAAAAAACAACAUUUUUUUGCAGUGUUAUGGCUUUUUACAGCGUGCAACCGCACUACAGCAUUUAAAUAAUGGCAUAUUUUUCUUUUUUGGGUGAACUAUCCUUUAAAUAAUUGCUACUAAUUACUUUAAUAUAUUUUACGGUGGCCUUAAUAUUAAUUUUUUUUCAUGAGGGGUAUAUAACAGGUGUAUAAAUAAGUGUAGUGGGACUAAAAGUAUCUUUUAUCUCACCAAACUGACUGUUUAUAAUAGGUGUUUAAUUUCAGACGCUACAAACUUGAAGAUGCUCCACAGGUGAAUCGGUCUGUAUUUCUGUCAAAUGUUUGUCAGUGACUGAUCAGGUGAUAUUUAAGUAAAUUUCUGAGGACCAAUCAAUCUGAGGUAAAUGGAACUUGUCAUGUUUAGAUUUUCAGAUUUUUUUUUUAUCAUUUUUACUUAUUUGAAAGAGUGAGAAAAGUGACAUUGUGUGUGUCUAGAGGACCUCUGAAGUGCUCAUCCAUUCAUGUUCUUGUUAUUCCAGUGCUGUAGGACUUGAAUGUUAAUGAAGCCAGAGGAAAAUUGGUUGUAAUUUUGCACAAAUGGUGGUGGCGACACUUAUGCUUAUGCUUCGAUAUCAAUUUAACAAACAUUUAAAGAAAUUAAAUGCAUUUAUAGAAGACUUAAA